CCUCUGGUGUUGUUUCUGCGGGCUUCACCGGCCCCGGAGGGGAGGAGGUCAAAGGAAAGGGCAGGGGUGGGGGCGGCUGCAAGCCCGAGCCCCUCCCGCUUGCAGCCCCCGCCGUCUGCCUGCAGGAGGCUUUUCAUAGACUCCACCUGGCUCUGUGCUGAGGCGGAACCGCUCGGGCGCCUAUCAAUAGAACGCGGCAGAGGGUGACCAGGCGACAGAUUGAGGGGCCCUGCCAGGGGGACUGCGGAGCAGAGAAGCAUGGGGAUCCUGGAGACACCCUGCUCCGGGACUCGCACCCCACCCCCCUGCAGUGCUGGAACUCGCCCUGCGGGCCAGCCUUCUCUCGAACCUGCGUGCCCUCCACACGGCCGUCGCAUGUGGCGCUUCUUCACCGUCAAACUUCAUAAGUUACGUCCUCAGAAGGCCUCCCUGCCCCUCGAUCCGGGUCAGUCUGCCCAGCAAGCCUCUCCCACGAGCCACGAGUCCCCUUCGCGCGCGCACCUGCUGGGAACUGCCCACCAGGGUGUCCACGGGAAGGCGGGGUUCCCCCAGCACCUGCACCCCCAGAUGACUAAACGACUUCUUGAAAUAAAGGUUAAAAACUUGCCAAAGUAAA
Molecule: long non-coding RNA, 616 nt
Organism: Lynx canadensis (Canada lynx)
Lineage: Eukaryota; Metazoa; Chordata; Mammalia; Carnivora; Felidae
Exons: 3
Source: RefSeq, a predicted model, not a curated record